AGGACGAACGCUGGCGGCGUGCUUAACACAUGCAAGUGGAGCGACGAACCAGGGCUUGCCCUGGGGCAGAGCCGCGAACGGGUGAGUAACACGUGGGUUACCUGCCUCGAUGACCGGGACAACCCGAGGAAACUCGGGCUAAUACCGGAUGUGCCCGCAAGGGGAAAGGAAGCUUCGGCCUCCGCAUCGAGAUGGGCCCGCGGCCCAUUAGCUUGUUGGUGAGGUAACGGCUCACCAAGGCUUCGAUGGGUAGCUGGUCUGAGAGGACGAUCAGCCACACUGGGACUGAGACACGGCCCAGACUCCUACGGGAGGCAGCAGUGGGGAAUCUUGCGCAAUGCGCGAAAGCGUGACGCAGCAACGCCGCGUGGGGAAGAAGGCUCUCGGGUUGUAAACCCCUUUCAGUUGGGACGAAGCUUCGUCGGUUAAUGGCCGGCUGGAGUGACGGUACCUUCACAAGAAGCACGGCUAACUACGUGCCAGCAGCCGC
Molecule: ribosomal RNA, 490 nt
Filed under: uncultured bacterium
Lineage: Bacteria
Description: SSU rRNA
Rfam family: Bacterial small subunit ribosomal RNA
Source: RNAcentral